This 588-nucleotide ribosomal RNA is filed under the name uncultured bacterium. RNAcentral describes it as "bacterial SSU rRNA". It matches the Rfam family "Bacterial small subunit ribosomal RNA", at positions 338 to 916 of the family's 1533-position model. The record is from RNAcentral.
CCUACGGGAGGCAGCAGUGGGGAAUUUUGGACAAUGGGCGAAAGCCUGAUCCAGCAAUGCCGCGUGCAGGAAGAAGGCCUUCGGGUUGUAAACUGCUUUUGUACGGAACGAAACGGUCUGCUUUAAUACAGUGGGCUAAUGACGGUACCGUAAGAAUAAGCACCGGCUAACUACGUGCCAGCAGCCGCGGUAAUACGUAGGGUGCGAGCGUUAAUCGGAAUUACUGGGCGUAAAGCGUGCGCAGGCGGUUAUAUAAGACAGUUGUGAAAUCCCCGGGCUCAACCUGGGAAUUGCAUCUGUGACUGUAUAGCUAGAGUACGGUAGAGGGGGAUGGAAUUCCGCGUGUAGCAGUGAAAUGCGUAGAUAUGCGGAGGAACACCGAUGGCGAAGGCAAUCCCCUGGACCUGUACUGACGCUCAUGCACGAAAGCGUGGGGAGCAAACAGGAUUAGAUACCCUGGUAGUCCACGCCCUAAACGAUGUCAACUGGUUGUUGGGUGCAUUAGUACUCAGUAACGAAGCUAACGCGUGAAGUUGACCGCCUGGGGAGUACGGGCCGCAAGGUUGAAACUUAAAUUGAAAUUGACGG